GCACUGCCUUGGAAGCUCUGCAGGGCCUGGCCUCUGGCCUCGGGGGUCUGGUGGCAAUGCCAGAGCAAACCCAACUUGUUCAGAUCUGGGGCUGCUUAAAUGCCACCUGAGCAAUUCCUGGGGCAGCAAGUGGCAUUC
Small nucleolar RNA from Phyllostomus discolor (pale spear-nosed bat), 138 nucleotides. NCBI's taxonomy places the organism in Eukaryota, Metazoa, Chordata, Mammalia, Chiroptera, Phyllostomidae. The record is from RefSeq and is a predicted model, not a curated record.